CAAUAGCGUAUAUUAAAGCUGUUGCGGUUAAAAAGCUCGUAGUUGGAUUUCUGUCAAGGACAACUGGUCCGCCCUCCGGGUGAGCACAUAGUUUGGUCUUGGCAUCUUGUUCAAAACUGUUACUGCGCUUGGUUGUGUGGUGCAGUUUUGGGCACUUUCACUUUGAGGAAAUUGGAGUGUUUCAAGCAGGCACAUGCCUUUGGACACAGUAGCAUGGAAUAAUUAGAUUGGGCUUUUGCUCCAACUUGUCGGUUCCUGGAGCUGAGGUGAGAAUCAAUGGGGAUUGUUGGGGGCAUCUGAAUUUAGCCGUCAGAGGUGAAAUUCUUGGAUCUGCUAAAGACGGACAACUGCGAANGNGUUUGCNCAGGAUGUUUNCAUUG
This 380-nucleotide ribosomal RNA is filed under the name uncultured eukaryote. RNAcentral describes it as "partial 18S ribosomal RNA". It matches the Rfam family "Eukaryotic small subunit ribosomal RNA", at positions 592 to 975 of the family's 1831-position model. The record is from RNAcentral.